UACGUAGGGGGCAAGCGUUGUCCGGAUUUAUUGGGCGUAAAGCGCGUGUAGGCGGCUUUGCAAGUCGGGUGUGAAAGCCCUCAGCUCAACUGAGGAAGUGCGCCCGAAACUGCAGAGCUUGAGUACCGGAGAGGAUGGCGGAAUUCCCCAAGUAGAGGUGAAAUUCGUAGAUAUGGGGAGGAACACCGGUGGCGAAGGCGGCCAUCUGGACGGAUACUGACGCUGAGACGCGAAAGCGUGGGUAGCAAACAGG
RNAcentral lists this ribosomal RNA (253 nucleotides) under uncultured bacterium. RNAcentral's name for it is "partial 16S ribosomal RNA". It matches the Rfam family "Bacterial small subunit ribosomal RNA", at positions 524 to 776 of the family's 1533-position model. The record is from RNAcentral.